This 256-nucleotide long non-coding RNA is filed under the name Homo sapiens (human). RNAcentral describes it as "HSALNT0200557". Lineage: Eukaryota; Metazoa; Chordata; Mammalia; Primates; Hominidae. The record is from RNAcentral.
AAAAGUCAUCUUUCUGAAGAGCAAAUCAAGAGGAUAAACAGCUCAUUCAGGAAGCCAUGAGGCUAGCUGUAACUAAAAAGGUUUAAGUCCUAUUCUCCUUCUUCCCAUUGAUUAUGGGUGUGGCUGAACCACUCAGAAAUUCAUCACCGGUAACCAAGUGGUGGCAGCAGAGAAUUGUAAAACCCAGCUGUGGGGAAACUCCUGUUUUGAGGCUGUUCAAGAAGUGCUGUGGUUGUUUUGGCUUAAAAUCACAUUA